Molecule: ribosomal RNA, 406 nt
Filed under: uncultured bacterium
Lineage: Bacteria
Description: partial 16S ribosomal RNA
Rfam family: Bacterial small subunit ribosomal RNA
Source: RNAcentral
AUUGAACGCUGGCGGCAGGCCUAACACAUGCAAGUCGAACGAGUGGCGGACGGGUGAGUAAUGUCUGGGAAACUGCCUGAUGGAGGGGGAUAACUACUGGAAACGGUAGCUAAUACCGCAUACCAUCGGAUGUGCCCAGAUGGGCUUAGCUAGUAGGUGGGGUAAAGGCUCACCAAGGCGACGAUCCCUAGCUGGUCUGAGAGGAUGACCAGCCCCACUGGAACGGAGCCACGGUCAAGACGCCUACGGGAGGCAGCAGUGGGGAAUAUUGGACAAUGGGCGAAAGCCUGAUGCAGCCAUGCCGCGUGUAUGAAGAGGGCCUUCGGGUGGUAAAGUACUUUCAGCGGGGAGGCGUUACCCGCAGAAGAAGCACCGGCUAACUCCGUGCCAGCAGCCGCGGUAAUUC